This is a long non-coding RNA of Herpailurus yagouaroundi (jaguarundi), 459 nucleotides long. RefSeq lists it as uncharacterized. NCBI's taxonomy places the organism in Eukaryota, Metazoa, Chordata, Mammalia, Carnivora, Felidae. The transcript is spliced from 3 exons. The record is from RefSeq and is a predicted model, not a curated record.
GGUCUGGCCCACGCUUCGUGGUUGCCAUAGAAACCUGACGUCACGUGGCGACCGUGACGACUUUUUAAUAGAGACAGAAGUGCCCUCCAUAGCAGAGCAGGGGCCCGCCUUCAGGUGUUUGGGGGCGUUGUUGAGGGUGUGGGUCCCCGCGGUCGGGGCUGAACCGCCCUGGGAUGGAAGGAGACAAAGGGAUUCAGAUCCAAGUUGCUUCGUUCUUGCCUUGGGAGUCAGCACGGCCGCUGUCUCGUAGCUCUUCAUGACGGUGGCCCAGCUCAUAUCAGGUGCGUGAAGAGGGCAGGUUCUGAGGAUGUGUGUCCUGAUGGCUGCUGAAGCUUCUACUCCAGGUUCAAGGUCAGCAGUUCUCAGGAGACCCCAACACUUCACACCCCUGGUGGAAAUUGAUGCCUGGCACAAAGAGAGACAUAGCAUGAGCAGAAGAAGAGCAGAGAGAGAGGGAGA